AUGGUGAAUCCUGUGGCAAAGAGGGCAGUAAUGAGGCCUCACCAGACCUGCAGAAUCAGACAGGACGACAGGAAGUGACGGAGACAGCGGGACCAGCAGGACGCGGAGACGAUGGACGUCCUCACCAAACAUGUGGUACCUGUUUGUUUACAUCCCAGCUCAGCUGUGCUUUUCUUUCAUUUGUUUACAUGUGUGUUUCACUUGUUUACCAGAAGCUCAGACACAUCAGCUGUGUGGGCGGAGUCAGGGGAAGACUCUGGAUCCUGAAGCUCUUCAGCCAUUGGCCAGGACUCAGCGAUGUGACGAUGUAGAAACCUGUGAAACAUUUGUAUCAUCAGUGGGUGGAGCUCCACUGGCUCCACCCAUGACUGUACCAUUUUACUCCAAAGGGUAGGGUGCUAAAAAUGUGUCCUGUACCAAACUGGACUGAUCCACUCGGUGGAAACACGGCUCCCAGGUUUCCAUGCUGUGCCCACCCGUGUUUAUGCAGGUUCCAUAUGGUUUCAGUAACAUGGGAAUGCCCAUGUGACCUCACUUGACCUCACCUGAGCUGUUGCCCAACGUGUGGUCAACAUUUGGCCCGGUCAGCGGGGGAAACGUGGCACCGCGGGUUCGAAUCCAGUCGCCGUCGUCGUGGUGAUGCUGACUCCAGAAACAGAAGCCGUGUUCAAACGUACAGUGUGUUACCGGAGAGGUCGGACGCGUUGACGGCGUUGUACGUGGCGUUGAAACCCGACAGAUU
Solea senegalensis (Senegalese sole) is the source of this 742-nucleotide long non-coding RNA. RefSeq lists it as uncharacterized. The record is from RefSeq and is a predicted model, not a curated record. The transcript is spliced from 3 exons. NCBI's taxonomy places the organism in Eukaryota, Metazoa, Chordata, Actinopteri, Pleuronectiformes, Soleidae.